This 497-nucleotide ribosomal RNA is filed under the name uncultured bacterium. Its description in RNAcentral is "partial 16S ribosomal RNA". It matches the Rfam family "Bacterial small subunit ribosomal RNA", at positions 28 to 507 of the family's 1533-position model. The record is from RNAcentral.
GAUGAACGCUGGCGGCGUGCUUAAUACAUGCAAGUCGAGCGAACAGACGAUGAUCUUUUUCCUCUGACGUUAGCGGCGGACGGGCGAGUAACACAUGGGUAACCUACCUAUAAGACUGGCAUAACUUCGCGACUCCGGAGCUAAUACCGGAUAAUAUAUUGCACCACAUGGUUCAUUAGUGAAAGACGGGUUUUUCCUCAAUAAUAGAUGGAUCCGCGCCGCAUUAGCUAGGUGGUAAGGUAACGGCUUACCAAGGCAACUAUGCGUAGCCGAUCUGAGGGGGUGGUCAGCCACCCUGGAACUGAGCCACGGUCCAGACUCCUCCGGGAGGCAGCGGUAGGGAAUCUUCUGCAAUGGGCGAAAGCCUGACGGGGCCCCGCCGCGUGAGUGGUAAGGGUCUUCGGAUCUUAAAACUCUGUUAUUUGUAAAGAACAAUUGUGUCAGUAACUAUUCACGUCUUGACGGUACCUUAUCAGAAAGCCACGGCUAACUCCGUG